GACGAACGCUGGCGGCGUGCCUAAUACAUGCAAGUUGAGCGAUGAUGACUGGUGCUUGCACCACUUUGAAGAGCAGCGAACGGGUGAGUAACGCGUGGGGAAUCUGCCUUUGAGCGGGGGACAUAAUUUGGAAACGAAUGCUCAUACCGCAUAACAACUUUAAACAUACGUUUUAAGUUUGAAAGAUGCAAUUGCAUCACUCAAAGAUGAUCCCGCGUUGUAUUAGCUAGUUGGUGAGGUAAAGGCUCACCAAGGCGAUGAUACAUAGCCGACCUGAGAGGGUGAUCGGCCACAUUGGGACUGGGACACGGCCCAAACUCCUACGGGAGGCAGCAGUAGGGAAUCUUCGGCAAUGGACGAAAGUCUGACCGAGCAACGCCGCGUGAGGGAAGAAGGUUUUCGGAUCGUAAAACUCUGUUGGUAGAGAAGAACGGUGGUGGGAGUGGAAAGCUCAUCAAGUGACGGUAACUACCCAGAAAGGGACGGCUAACUACGUG
Molecule: ribosomal RNA, 497 nt
Filed under: uncultured bacterium
Lineage: Bacteria
Description: partial 16S ribosomal RNA
Rfam family: Bacterial small subunit ribosomal RNA
Source: RNAcentral